GGGUGGAGGUGCACUCCCCCCACACCCGGCCGCGCUCCACCUCCCAGGCCCCGACCUCGGGGACCGAGGACCAGGACCCGAGCUGGAGGUAUGUUCCCGCCUACCCAUGUCAUUCCAGACAUGUUCACCUGGCCGCCAUGACCCUAACGGCAUCAAAGGAGCAACCAAGAGUUCAGCAAGUUCCUGGGACAGAAGAGAAAGAAGGGAGUUUCUGGCAUCUUGGAGAUGCUCACCAUUGCACUGGAAAGGAGCCUUGCAGAUAAGUAUUCAAACUUACCAGCCCAUAGCCUACCAGCCUGCCCUCUGCUGGUCUGUGCAGGAAAGUACAAUAUCCCAGAAUUCUCAAGGGGAAGAGAAAUCCAUGCAGCAGCUCAUUCACUUUCCCACCUCUACGCCACAAACAAAGCUUGUCCCUGAUUUACGGGGCCCCCAGAAAUAAUUUUCCUACCCCUUUUGGCAUCAAGGUUAGUAUUCUAUAAACUCCACCAUCAGGAGCUUCUGAGCUGAGUUUAAUGACCUUACCUUGAGCACCUGUAGAUGUGGAGUCAGAAGACUCCUUGAGAUGGGCUGGCCCUUUCCUCCUGAGUUCUGAUCCUCUAUCAUCAUAUUGAUACAGCUUGGCUAGGGCUCUUUUGCCUGGCAGUCAAGCAGGGACUUCAGCACUGUGGCCCCAGGGCACAUACUUCACAGGGUGAGGGUCCAAGUACAUCUCUAGCCCUGGACCCAUGCCUCAAGCUGAGGUACUGGCAGCAAGCUCAGAAAACAUACUGAGAGGGCCCCUGACUCUCCUGGCCCAGGUCUGCCAGUUGAUGGCCAUCACGAAAAGCAAAACCUGGGAGAUGGUCUUUGGUUAGGAUUCGUGGGCAUUCUCUGGGCUUCUCCAGACUUGUGACAUGGGGACUGCCUGCCAUCGGGUCCCCAAGCUUUUCCUGAUGCCUCAGAAGAGAAAGUGGAAGAGGAGGGCGGGUGCGGGAAGAUACCUGAGGUUGGGCAGAAGGGCCCCUUCUACGUCCCAUCCACUGCCUCCAGCUACAGGUUAUGACUGUACGCUUUGGGUGGAAGUCUGGACUGGAAAGGCCCUGCCUCCCAGAGAGACUUCCCACGGCAGCACGGGAGGCAGAGCUGGGAUUGGACUCUGGGUCCCCAGCUCUUGUCUGAUGCUCUCGUUCAAGCUGUCAUCCAGCUGAGUUUGCCUUGCUGUCUCUUGGGUGGGUCACGUUCUACCAUCGAUGGGGACAGGGAACCAAGGAUGUUCUGGGGCAGGAGGAAGGGUGGUGGGGGCAGAGUGCCUGGGCCCACCCUCCCUUGCUCCCAGGCCUUCCUGUUAGUAGAAAGUUCUGGCCUGGGCUGGCUGGGGAGGGGGCCUGGGUAUGGUUUUCUCCUGCGCUGUGUUUGGAUCCUUUGUCUUCCAGGAUGGGCCUCUGGGGUCUGCGUGGGGUAGGAGCCUGGGCUGCCAGCAUUUUGGCUGGGUGCUGUCAGCACAAGUAUGGACCACGUGACUUCUCCAGGAUGAUGCUGAGGAACCAGAGGUCAAGACGAGGUGUGGUCCCGCCCUCUCAGAUCUUCAUGCUUCUUGGCCCCGCAGCAUCUCCAGGACACCCAGUCUGGUCUUCUGGAGAGCCUGGGUGACCCUGGGCACAGUGACACAGGGAGCAGCCGCCGGUGGUUUUCUGGAUAAGACCUCACCUUUCCUGACUCCUGGGAUGGAGAAUCUCCUGGACAAAGGCCCCUCCUGGUUGGUGCCCAGCCAAAGACAGGACCCAGCUCUGGAGGACAGCUCAAGGGGUGGGAGGAGGGCUGGCAGCUGGCCGCCCCCUCUGCUUCUCUCUGGCCCCAUCUGCCAGGCCCUCCUCCCCAGGCCUGGAGGCCCCUCCUGACCCCCCGUGGACUUGGUUUCUCCUUGCAGCCCUGCCAGCCAUCAGGCAGAGCUCCGCCUGGGCCAGGACAGGGGCAGGAACGUGGGAUGGGAGUCGGGUAGGAGCUGCAAGUGGGAGGCAGGUCGAUGCAGCCCUGGGGUGCCGUUGGCUGGAGUCUGUCUUGCGCUGUGUGAGUGAUUCUCAUUUUUGUGGGGGAUUCUUGGAUGGGGCCUUUUGGUGCUUCUUUUCUACCUGACAGUCAAAGGGAGAAGGCAGGAUGGGCCUGGGGGUGGGGGGUGGCUGGACCUCUUGCUGGGGUGUGGAGCUCUGGGAGGGGCAGUGAUCCUGAAAGGAGAGCAGUUCUGAGAGAUGAGAGACCCUGCCUGGGGGAGGGUCUUGCAGAAGGAGCCAGACACUGGGCCUUGGUCCUGCCAUCCAAAGGGAAUGUUCUGGAAUUGGCCUCACCUCAAGGCUUGAGAGGUCACCCCAGCUCCAUCUCAGACCCCUGCUCCUUGUCACAAUCCUGUCCUUGGGGAGCAGAGACAGUUAGGGCGGGCUCCACACGCAGGCAGCUUCCCCUGUCACAGAGCUACACCCUCGCUUCCGUGCCCCAUCCCCAUUCUCGCCUCUUCCAGCCCCUCAAGGGUGGCCCGUCCCAGGACUUGCAGGACAACAGGCUUCCUCAGGCAAACUUAAGAGCCUGAUGUCCUUUUCCCAGGGUGGUGAGGGACCUGUGUUAGUCUGCCUGGGCUGCUGUAACAGAAUACUGUGAUUCAGUGGCUAGAACAGCAGAAAUGUAUUUUCUCAGGUUCUAGAGGCUGCAAGUCCCAGAUCAGGGUGCUAGAGAUGGUUUGUCCUGAGGCCUCUCUCCUUGGCUUGCAGAUAGAAACUUCUUGCUCUGUUCGCACAUGGCCUUUUCUCUGUGCAUACACAGGGUGAGAAGGCGAGAGAGAAAGAGAGGGAGAGAGAGAGAGAAAGAGAGGGAGAAAGCAAGGGUGAAGGAGAAAGCGAGGGUAAGAGAGAAAGGGAGAGAGAGAGAAAUAAGGGAGGGAGGAGGAGAAAUAGAUGACUGAAGUCUCUUCCAUUUCCGAUAAGGGCACCAGUCCUGUGGGGUUAGGGCCUCAUUCUUAUGACCUCAUUUAGCUGUAAUGACCUAUGUUAAAGCCUAUCUCCAAAUACAGUCACCUUAGGGGUUACAGCUUCAGCCUAUGAAUUUGAAGCCCGGUGGGGGGACACAGUUCAGCCCAUUGCAGGUGGUCAGAGCAGACAUGGAAAGCUGAAAGGCUCCCCUUCAGAACUCCCGCCCCCUAAUAGGGAGGGGAAGGAGGGGCAGAGGCAGGGGAAGGGCUCUGCUAGGCUGGCCCAGGAGUCUUGGGGAGACAGCAAAUGAACGGGCCCUCGCCCAGAGCAGCGAGGAGGAGCCCCAGGAGAGGGAUGCCUUGGGGAAGGGCAUGGGCUUUGGAGCCCGAGGGUGCGCCCUCUGCUGCACAGCCUUAGGCAAGUCGCCUCACCCCUGGGAGUCCGAUGUUCACUCUGAAACAGGAUUGCUCCCCUGGGGGGCACAGGGAGAAGUCAGUGAAAUCAUGCGCCUGGCUCUUAGUAGGUUUCAGUAAACACUCCCAUCUGUCGGGGAGUUCAGAUGUGGGCUUACCUCUUUUUGGUACUCUGGACUGUAAACUCAGCAUCUUCGGCCCAGAGGCGUUCCUAGCCUGUUUUUCCAUUUGUGUGUUCUUAAUAUUCCUCUCUAAGCAGAUCGAGCAAUCAGCUGCAUUGGCCUGGCCUCCACAGUAACUCCCAAUGCCUCCUUUAAUAUCUACUCCUCUCAUUGGAAGUAAGCGCCUGCUCUGAGCCCUUCCCCGAGCUGCUUACUUGAGGGGAAUGUAAAUGAAGACGUGCUCAUGACUCCAGCCUUCAGGGUUUCACAGCCAUUGGAAGAUGGGGCAGAAAGCAGUCUACUGAGGCACAGGUUCCCAGCGCUUGGGUGGGUGGGAGCAAGACCUCAGGGUAGGCUGGAAGGGCUUCCCAGCAAGGCUGAAUCAGUCAGGACCUUGGAGGAUGAGAAGGAUGUGGCUUAGUUGAGUUUCUAGGGGGACAGAGCACAGACUCCCAAAGUAGGUUCUAGGAGAUGUUAUUGCUCUUUUAAAAAAAUAAAAGUUCAAAUUCAGUAGGUUUCUAUAGUGCAGGACUUAUCAGAGCCUUUAAAAAUGCUGCUAGGAAUUGUGAAUACUCCAGGACAGAGGAUUAAGUGUUUUUCCCCAAACUUUGCUGGCAACAGAACCCUCUCCUUAUGGAGCAUCAUUUAGAACUCUGGAGAGUCUAGGCUGGGGUUUCUGGGGGAAAACUGCAAUUGUGAUAGGAGGUGACAAAACUAGGGCAUACUCAGGUGCUUUGUAGCAUCGGCUGGAAAGGCACUACUUUCCCUGGGAUUGGGGAAUCUGAAUCUGGUUCCAGGGGUCAGGCAAGCUCUGCGCUGUCUUGGGGUGAGGGGAGGCCAGUAGUUGGAGGAGUCAGAGGCCAGGCAGUCUGGGACAGAGGAGCUGUCCACUGGGCAUGGUGGCUCUGGGGCAUCAGAUCCUUCGUGGGAAGAUGCCAGUGUGUGCGUGUGCGUGUGCGUGUGUGUGUGUGUGGCUGAGUGUGACAGAAUCUAGCCUUCCGGGAAUGGGUUGGCCAGAACCAGGCAGGGGGGUUCCCGCCAGAACAAGCAGGGUCCAUUUUCAGGGGAACUGAAGUGUCUGGGGGAGGCUCACAGCAGAGAAGUAGGGAAGCACAACUUCUUUGUAGGGUCUGCGUGGAUAGUCUUGAUUCUGGUGGGGCUGAGGGGCUUGGAGGCAGACCCCCUGCCCUGGUCAGGCCCAGCUCCCUGGCUGAUUGGGGGGCGGGAGGCCUCUGGCGCUGCAGCCGGGCAGUGUUGCAUGGUGUGAUUAACCUACUAACCCAGGGCUCGGCCGGGACGCUGUGGCGUGUGAU
This 4823-nucleotide long non-coding RNA is filed under the name Sus scrofa (pig). RNAcentral's name for it is "lncRNA (ENSSSCG00065015601.1)". Lineage: Eukaryota; Metazoa; Chordata; Mammalia; Artiodactyla; Suidae. The record is from RNAcentral.